GACGAACGCUGGCGGCGUGCCUAACACAUGCAAGUCGAGCGGGGUUGAGGCGAGAGGUAACUCGAGCUUCUACCUAGCGGCGGACGGGUGAGUAACGCGUGGGCAACCUGCCUCAAGGUUUGGGAUAACAGCCCGAAAGGGCUGCUAAUACCGGAUAUGCCUAUGGCCUCGCAUGGGGCUAUGAGCAAAGGGGAAACCCGCCUUGAGAUGGGCCCGCGUCCCAUCAGCUAGUUGGUGAGGUAACAGCUCACCAAGGCGACGACGGGUAGCCGGCCUGAGAGGGUGACCGGCCACACUGGGACUGAGACACGGCCCAGACUCCUACGGGGGGCAGCAGUGGGGGAUCUUGCACAAUGGGCGAAAGCCUGAUGCAGCGACGCCGCGUGAGCGAAGAAGGCCUUCGGUUGUAAGACUCUGUCUGGAGGGACGGAACAAAAUAGACGGUACCGUCCCGGAGGAAGCCACGGCUAACUACCGUGCCAGCAGCCGCGGUAAACCUGUAGUCGU
RNAcentral lists this ribosomal RNA (507 nucleotides) under uncultured bacterium. RNAcentral describes it as "bacterial SSU rRNA". It matches the Rfam family "Bacterial small subunit ribosomal RNA", at positions 28 to 535 of the family's 1533-position model. The record is from RNAcentral.